CUGAGAAGAGUUAAGAAACACAGAGACUGCUAAUUAUCUGACCCAUGGUUAAAUUCC
This 57-nucleotide transfer RNA is filed under the name Phaeognathus hubrichti (Red Hills salamander). RNAcentral's name for it is "partial tRNA-Ser". Lineage: Eukaryota; Metazoa; Chordata; Amphibia; Caudata; Plethodontidae. The record is from RNAcentral.